This 22-nucleotide microRNA is filed under the name Heligmosomoides polygyrus. RNAcentral describes it as "hpo-miR-10160-3p". The record is from miRBase by way of RNAcentral. Lineage: Eukaryota; Metazoa; Nematoda; Chromadorea; Rhabditida; Heligmosomidae.
GCCCAUCGCUUAUCGCCCCAAC